RNAcentral lists this ribosomal RNA (253 nucleotides) under uncultured bacterium. Its description in RNAcentral is "partial 16S ribosomal RNA". It matches the Rfam family "Bacterial small subunit ribosomal RNA", at positions 524 to 776 of the family's 1533-position model. The record is from RNAcentral.
UACGGGGGGGGCAAGCGUUGUUCGGAAUUACUGGGCGUAAAGGGCUUGUAGGCGGUCCGGUAAGUCCGCUGUGAAAGUCGGGGGCUCAACCCUCGAAUGCCGGUGGAUACUGUCGGGCUAGAGUGCGGAAGAGGCGAGUGGAAUUCCUGGUGUAGCGGUGAAAUGCGCAGAUAUCAGGAGGAACACCUAUUGCGAAGGCAGCUCGCUGGGACGUAACUGACGCUGAGACGCGAAAGCGUGGGGAGCGAACAGG